GGAAUACCCGCUGAACUUAAGCAUAUCAAUAAGUCGGAGGAAG
Molecule: ribosomal RNA, 43 nt
Filed under: Hypomyces odoratus
Lineage: Eukaryota; Fungi; Ascomycota; Sordariomycetes; Hypocreales; Hypocreaceae
Description: partial 28S ribosomal RNA
Source: RNAcentral